Molecule: long non-coding RNA, 185 nt
Organism: Neopelma chrysocephalum (saffron-crested tyrant-manakin)
Lineage: Eukaryota; Metazoa; Chordata; Aves; Passeriformes; Pipridae
Exons: 3
Source: RefSeq, a predicted model, not a curated record
CAGGGGGUCCCACCAUCUGUGGGGCAUAAGUAGCUGCAGACUGGGAGACCUGUGGACCCUCGACAUCGAGACGCUGACGUGGAACAAGCCGAGCCUGAGCGGGGUGGCCCCCCUGCCCCGCAGCCUCCACUCGGCCACCACCAUCGGCAACAAGAUGUCCGUGUUUGGGGGGUGGGUGCCCCUGG